AAGUCGAACGAACUGUAGAAAUACGGUUAGUGGCGGACGGGUGAGUAACGCGUGAGCAAUCUGCCCUUGUCAGGGGAAUAACACAAAGAAAUUUGUGCUAAUACCGCAUAAUAUCAGAGAACGGCAUCGUUCACUGAUCAAAGAUUUAUCGGACAAGGAUGAGCUCGCGUCCCAUUAGGUAGUUGGUGAGGUAACGGCCCACCAAGCCGACGAUGGGUAGCCGACCUGAGAGGGUGAUCGGCCACAUUGGAACUGAGAAACGGUCCAGACUCC
Molecule: ribosomal RNA, 273 nt
Filed under: uncultured bacterium
Lineage: Bacteria
Description: partial 16S ribosomal RNA
Rfam family: Bacterial small subunit ribosomal RNA
Source: RNAcentral